UAGGAGAAGAUCUCCAGAUGGGUUUGGUGUCCACCCAGAAUUGUCCCACCGAAGGUCACCAAUUUACAGGAUGGAGAGGAUAAGAUCACCCGAUAACCCAGGUUUUCCUGCAGAGAGGGUGCCUAGGAGGCAUGGUUCCCCUUCGUAUUUGUCCCGACCUAAUGAUUUGAGGGAAAUGGAUCCUGGUCGGGAUCAUGGUCAUCCAAGGUCUAUCAUCUCUAAUAGGAGCCCAACUGGCCGGAUUUUUCUCAGAAACAGUAGGAGAUUUGGUGUUGCUGAUCCUAGAGAAAGGGCAGAAAAUGAUGAGUUUUAUGAGGGACCCAUGCAUCCUAGCCGGUUUCAUGAACUUGGUGGUGAUGGAAAUGGUCAAGAGAGAAGGUUUGGUGAGAGACGGGCACCUGUUCGUGCUUUUAGGCCUCCUUUUAAUGGUGCUGAUGGUGAAAAUUUUCCUCUCAAUACAGAGGAUGGCCCUAGGUCCUUUAGGUUCUUCCCUGAAGAUGAUCCAGAUUUCCAUGAACGAGCUAAUUUGAGGGGAAGGGAACUUGACAGACGGAUCAAGAACCGUCCAGGAAAUGCACCUAGAAGACCAAGAAGCAUUGAAGAACAAGAAGGAAAUUACCGGCAUGGAGGGCAGGUGUUGUAUGACGAUAGUUUUGAUGAUAUGUCGCGAGUGAAGAGAAAAAGAUUUUGACUAGACUAAUUUACAUCUGCAAUAUGCUAGAUCCUGGACUGCUUAGUGGAUAUGAGGAACCGGAAGGCAGAAUUAGUUCUGGUAAUUACAGCUAGAUAUAGGAAGUUGCUAUUCUGUUUGUGGUUCUCAGCCACUUUGUGAGUGUGAUAUGGAGUUAUGGAUGCUGGGUUGAUUUUAGACCACAUACUACCAGAUACUUGCAACUACUGGAUGAUUGAUCUGUCUUGUACAUACCUUGGAUCUUCUUACAACUUUUCCACCAGUUAUUUGCUAAUUCUUGAUAUUAGCAGCACUUCUUCAAAAGUUUCAUUUGAGCAAGUUUUGUACUGUCAUGAUUAUGGUGGCUCUUUAUAUAUUUUAUGGGUCAUUUAGGUGAAAUAUUUUUUA
This 1078-nucleotide unclassified non-coding RNA is filed under the name Hevea brasiliensis (rubber tree). The record is from RNAcentral. Lineage: Eukaryota; Viridiplantae; Streptophyta; Magnoliopsida; Malpighiales; Euphorbiaceae.